RNAcentral lists this ribosomal RNA (101 nucleotides) under Cynomorium songaricum. RNAcentral's name for it is "4.5S ribosomal RNA". Lineage: Eukaryota; Viridiplantae; Streptophyta; Magnoliopsida; Saxifragales; Cynomoriaceae. The record is from RNAcentral.
UAUUCCAACUUCCCUAAGCUCCAAUAGAUGAGGCAGCAAGGGUUCUCCGCCUCUUCGGGGAUGGAGCGACAUAAGUUUUGAGAAUUAAAGAUAAGGUCACG